This is a long non-coding RNA of Mastomys coucha (southern multimammate mouse), 292 nucleotides long. RefSeq lists it as uncharacterized. The record is from RefSeq and is a predicted model, not a curated record. NCBI's taxonomy places the organism in Eukaryota, Metazoa, Chordata, Mammalia, Rodentia, Muridae. The transcript is spliced from 3 exons.
UCCAUUCUCAGCGCCCAAGAGUAUGAGAGCUAAUUCAAACAAAACAUGUGGAUUUUCAUGUUAAAGUAACCUUCAGCAGAGAGACAACCGCUUCUGGAAAAUGUUAACGCUUUCCUGUUGGAUGCCAAGCCCUCUUGGAACCCAGGAGGUUAGAGCUUCAGAAGAAGGCUCCCACUUGCCCAUCCUCAGACUUGAACUCCUUGUAAGCAAGUCCAUUGAUCCUAAAGAUACCUUGAAGGGCUGCCUAGUACUCCUUCUGUUCCCUCCCACCAUAAACUGGUUUCUACACCCC